Long non-coding RNA from Drosophila miranda, 2218 nucleotides. RefSeq lists it as uncharacterized. Lineage: Eukaryota; Metazoa; Arthropoda; Insecta; Diptera; Drosophilidae. The record is from RefSeq and is a predicted model, not a curated record. The transcript is spliced from 3 exons.
AGUUGUUUUGGUCUAAGAGCAGGUUUUGCGAUGGUUUUUAUUAUACCGUGCCGAUUAAAUAGUUCGACAUUUUGGAAACUGAAAAUUCGUGCAACGAAAUGCACAAACAGUGCGCGCGGCAUGAAAUUCAAUGUAACCGGACAGUGCUUGAGUCAGCUGGUAGCAAUUAUCCGGGCAUCGAGGGAUGCGAUGUGCGCUGCAAGGAUCCCUUGGCACACGGAAGAUGAGCAUCGAUCCACAAGUUGAUUGGAUGGGCGGGCACGCUGUGCCUGGUCUCUAAUCUGUUUGUGGUGGCCACCUUUUCCAUCGACUGGCAGAAUGCAAGCAAGCUCUACAUGAAUCUAUGCUUCCUGAUUGCCUGCAUUGGCUGGCUCUUGCAAUUCACUUCAGGAUCCCGUAAGGAUAUUCUCUGUCGCAAGGAUGGCACUCUUCGCCAUUCCGAGCACACCGCCGGAGAGAAUCUCUCCUGCAUUGUGAUCUUUGUGCUGGUAUAUUAAUUCCUUACGGCCGGAAUGGUCUGGUUUGUGUUCCUCACCUAUGCCUGGCACUGGGUCAUGUCCAAGAUCGCAUAGACAAGAAGGGCUCGAACUUUUAUUUGGUUGCUUGGUCGCUGCCUCUGGUGCUGACCACCACCACAAUGGCCUUUUGCGAGGUGGAUGGCAAUAGUAUGGUCGGCAUCUGCUUUGUGGGCUACAUUAAUCAUCCGAUGCGCGCUGGCCUGCUGAUAAGACCGCCGAGGAGUGGGCUGAAAGCUUCAGGGAGUUUAUAAUGUGCAAAACAUCUUCGUUAUCAAGGAGAAGAGCUCUUGUCGCAUUGAGAAUCGUCCCAACGUGGGGGUCCUUCAUAGCAAAUGCUGUGCCUCUUCAGCUUGCUUUGCUACAAAGCUGCAUCUGCUCAAUGGACAUCAGGCAGCAUCUUCUUCUGCCACGGCACAAGUGGAUAGAUCAAUUAGAUCAGCCAGUCGCCCAAUUAACGAUCAGCCGGGGAUCAUUCGACUGCAGCAGCGUCUAUAUUUCGAAAAUAUAUAUCUCUGUAUACAUUUUUGGCGGUCCUGGAAAGGACCGAUUUUGGCGCCUAUCUAGGGUUGACCGCAUCAGUUUGGGAGUGUCCAUCUCUGACACUGCCACCACUAUGGCCACAAAUCUGUAUGGAUUUCUUUCGAACUCCGCACAGCUUCACGUCCGUGCUAUUGAGCCUGUGCAAGUUGGUGAACGGUGUCGCCGGGUAGGAGCAGACACGACCCAACAGUAUUUUACCUUGCAUGCGUUGCACUUUCAACUUCCACGUCCUGCGGUCCCUAUUCAAAGGGACAUAAAGCUCAUCGGGGCUCAGCACAAAACGGGUCAGGCUGGUAGAGCUGAUGGUUGUAAAUCAUGACUGCCCCGCAAUAUGUAAUUUAAAGCAUUGAUCAGCUGCUCUUCACUCCACUGGCUUGCAAAGGGCAAAAUUUGGUAAAUUUUUCAAUUUAUGAGAAAGAUGACCGGUAAUUAUUGCUGACAGUCCAACUGGAACGGAUGGAACCACCCAACCCAACUCUCAUCACUAUAUACAUACUUACAUUUUUGUAAAUUUACAAACUUAAAAGAACAAGACUUCUUUCCAGCUGAGUUCGGCUCCACCUGAGAAUUUAAAUACUUUUACAAUAAAUACCAAUACACAUACCCAUAAGCAGGAUCUUCUGGAUCGGUACCGUUGUUGAUGGCGGAAGAGACAGGGGCAGCAGCAGCAGCGGCGACACUUUCUGACUUAGCUUUCUUGCCUUUCUUUUCGGCUCGAAUGCUGGUUUUAUGACAAUUAUAUAGUUUCUGCGCCCAAUUCUUCAUUUUUCGCACAAAUGUCUGCUGUCUUCUGAUGUCAUUAAUUAUAACGAUGUUGCUAAGAAAAUAUUCGGCUACAAGAGAACAGACCAUCCGUUUCUCUCUUGGGCUUGCGCUGCUUUUUCAGCUGGAUUCCGUACACAUUGACGACUGUUGGACGCGUCGGAUAAAUGGCCGGAUAAUGCUCUACUGUCCGUAGAUACAUAGGUCAAAGUUAUCAGCGUCGCUGCUGAAGUAGUAGAAAUAAAGUUGUGUGGGCUGCGCGUAGUCGUGAUCCCGUAGGUGAUCAGGUCCGUGCGUCGGUGUCUGAUUCCGCGUCGGUAUCCGUUUUUUCCGCUUUGCUAGAUAGGUAGAUAUAGGUAUUAGGUAUAGUAGAGUACAAGUAUAUUUCAAAACAUCGC